RNAcentral lists this ribosomal RNA (229 nucleotides) under uncultured bacterium. Its description in RNAcentral is "partial 16S ribosomal RNA". It matches the Rfam family "Bacterial small subunit ribosomal RNA", at positions 568 to 796 of the family's 1533-position model. The record is from RNAcentral.
UCCGCAGGCGGGCAAUUAAGUCAGAGGUGAAAUCCCACAGCUCAACUGUGGAACUGCCUUUGAUACUGGUUGUCUUGAGUUAUAGUGAAGUAGAUAGAAUAUGUAGUGUAGCGGUGAAAUGCAUAGAUAUUACAUAGAAUACCGAUUGCGAAGGCAGUCUACUAACUAUAUACUGACGCUGAUGGACGAAAGCGUGGGGAGCGCACAGGAUUAGAUACCCUGGUAGUCC